UGAUUGAGAGCUGGAUACUGGCCCAGUGACCAGGGAGAAAUGAGGUCGUGGGAUCACGUCCAUGACUCAUAACAGCACACAAACCAACAGCCACUCUCAAACAACAACUCACCAGAACGAAGGACCCGAUACCCAGCAUGAGCAAAACCAAUGUAGUGUACAAAAUCCCAUGCAAGGACUGCACAAAACACUACAUAGGACAAACAGGAAGACAGCUAACGAUCCACAUCCAUGAACACCAACUAGCCACGAAACGACAUGACCAGCUAUCCUUAGUAGCCACACACGCAGAUGACUAGCAAUUCGACUCAGACAACACUACUAUUAUUGGACAAGCCAAACAGAGAACAGCCGGGGAAUUCCUAGAGGCAUGGCACUCAUCCACAGAUUCUAUCAACAAACACAUCGACCUGGACCCAAUAUACCGGUCACUGCAGCGGACAGCUGGAACUGACAACCGGAAGCGGCAGAGACAAACCACUAUAAAUGCCGGAGGAAACAUCACAGAAGCGCUUCACAGGAGGCUUCCAAGUACUGAGGAUGUCACCUAAGACAGGGGACGAAACAUCUGCAACACAACUUCCCAGCUCGGCGAACAGAACCACAACAACGAGCACCCGAGCUACAAAUCUUCUCCCAAACUUUAUCCUUCAAUCUCCAUUCCAAACAAAAAUACAGGAUAUCUGGCCAUUAUCACAUCACUGCUUAUGGAUAAUGUGCACAAAUUAGCUGCUAUGCUUUCUACAGUGACUGUGUGCUGCAAAAGUACUCGGCUGUAUAGGGCUUUGGGGAUGUUCUCAAAGAUGAUGAAAUUAAAUAAAUAAAUGCACUUGAAUAAAGUCCACACAA
Long non-coding RNA from Hemiscyllium ocellatum (epaulette shark), 849 nucleotides. RefSeq lists it as uncharacterized. The transcript has 2 exons. The record is from RefSeq and is a predicted model, not a curated record. Lineage: Eukaryota; Metazoa; Chordata; Chondrichthyes; Orectolobiformes; Hemiscylliidae.